UAGGGAAUCUUCCGCAAUGGGCGAAAGCUUGACGGAGCAACGCCGCGUGAGUGAUGAAGGUCUUCGGAUCGUAAAACUCUGUUAUUAGGGAAGAACAAAUGUGUAAGUAACUAUGCACGUCUUGACGGUACCUAAUCAGAAAGCCACGGCUAACUACGUGCCAGCAGCCGCGGUAAUACGUAGGUGGCAAGCGUUAUCCGGAAUUAUUGGGCGUAAAGCGCGCGUAGGCGGGUUUUUAAGUCUGAUGUGAAAGCCCACGGCUCAACCGUGGAGGGUCAUUGGAAACUGGAAAACUUGAGUGCAGAAGAGGAAAGUGGAAUUCCAUGUGUAGCGGUGAAAUGCGCAGAGAUAUGGAGGCACCCCAGUGGCGAAGGCGACUUUCUGGUCUGUAACUGACGCUGAUGUGCGAAAGCGUUGGGAUCAAACAGG
Molecule: ribosomal RNA, 429 nt
Filed under: Actinomycetes bacterium
Lineage: Bacteria; Bacillati; Actinomycetota; Actinomycetes
Description: Actinobacteria bacterium partial 16S ribosomal RNA
Rfam family: Bacterial small subunit ribosomal RNA
Source: RNAcentral